RNAcentral lists this ribosomal RNA (521 nucleotides) under uncultured bacterium. RNAcentral describes it as "bacterial SSU rRNA". It matches the Rfam family "Bacterial small subunit ribosomal RNA", at positions 8 to 518 of the family's 1533-position model. The record is from RNAcentral.
AGAGUUUGAUUAUGGCUCAGGAUGAACGCUAGCUACAGGCUUAACACAUGCAAGUCGAGGGGCAGCGAGAAGAAAGCUUGCUUCUUGUCGGCGACCGGCGCACGGGUGAGUAACGCGUAUCCAACCUUCCCCAUAGUAGGGAAUAGCCCGGCGAAAGUCGGAUUAAUGCCCUAUGUUGUAUUAUGAGGACAUCUGAUUAAUACCAAAGAUUCAUCGCUAUGGGAUGGGGGAUGCGUCUGAUUAGGUAGUAGGCGGGGUAACGGCCCACCUAGCCGACGAUCAGUAGGGGUUCUGAGAGGAAGGUCCCCCACAUUGGAACUGAGACACGGUCCAAACUCCUACGGGAGGCAGCAGUGAGGAAUAUUGGUCAAUGGGCGAGAGCCUGAACCAGCCAAGUCGCGUGAAAGGAUGAAGGUUCUAUGGAUUGUAAACUUCUUUUGUCCGAGGGUAAAAAAGGUCACGUGUGACUUCUUGCAAGUAUCGGACGAAUAAGCAUCGGCUAACUCCGUGCCAGCCGCUGC